GCGUGCUUAACACAUGCAAGUCGUGCGAGAAAACCCCUUCGGGGGUGAGUACAGCGGCGGACGGGUGAGUAACACGUGAGCGAUCUACCCGGUGGCGGGGGACAACCCAGGGAAACCUGGACUAAUACCGCAUACAGCGGAGGGAGUAGGUGCCCUUCGUGAAAGCUGGCCUCUCCAUGGAAGCUAGCGUCGCCGGAGGAGCUCGCGGCCUAUCAGCUUGUUGGUGGGGUAAAGGCCUACCAAGGCGAUGACGGGUAGCUGACGUGAGAGCGUGACCAGCCACACUGGGACUGAGACACGGCCCAGACUCCUACGGGAGGCAGCAGUGGGGAAUAUUGCGCAAUGGGCGAAAGCCUGACGCAGCGACGCCGCGUGGGGGAGGAAGGCCCUAGGGUUGUAAACCCCUGUCAGGUGGGACGAACCCUGGGUCGACGAAUAGUUGGCUCAGCUGACGGUACCAUCAGAGGAAGCUCCGGCUAACUCCGUGCCAGCAGCCGCGGUAAUACGGAGGGAGCAAGCGUUGUUCGGAAUCACUGGGCGUAAAGCGCGCGUAGGCGGCCGAGUAAGUCAGUAUGUGA
Molecule: ribosomal RNA, 578 nt
Filed under: uncultured bacterium
Lineage: Bacteria
Description: bacterial SSU rRNA
Rfam family: Bacterial small subunit ribosomal RNA
Source: RNAcentral